UAACACAACAAAUAUAUAUUGCCCUUAACCUGAGAUGUUUUCCAACUUAAUAAAUCAAAGCAAUCAAAUUAAAGGCUAUUUGGUGCCAUUAGGUGUGGAAAUUGCUAUAUGUGUUAUACUUUUCAUUCUGUAUUAUUUCAAGUGUAUGCUCUGAAUCUAAACACUGAACAGCAGAGGACAGUAACAGCACAGGAAAAUGUUGAUCUCUGAAAGCUCCUCCUCCUUAAAAAUGUACAAUAAAUUAUUUCCCUCCAUUGUGUUCUUCCAGAUAAUCUCUGCAUACCUAUUCCAUCUUUGCAGGAUUUUAUUUUAAGCAAAAUAAUGUUUAAAUUGUUAAUCACUUCACUGAUGUUUCUGUCUUUGUUUGCAGAUAUCAUCGCAUCACCACCUGUAAUCCAGCAGACCCCUGCCUCUAUUCUGAUAAAGUCAGGACAGGUGGCCCUUCUCCACUGUUACCAUGGGGAUAACAGCUAUCCCUACAUGCUCUGGUACCAGUCAGCGGCAGGAGGCAGACAUACCAUGGACCUGAUUGGACUGCUUCAUUAUGAAACCCAAACGCCUGAGAAGAGCUUUGAAAACCGUUUUAACAUGACAGGCCAUUCAAAAGGCAAAGCUCAGCUGAUUAUCUCUGACACCAAACCAGAAGACACAGCAGAAUAUUUCUGUGCAGCAAGAUAACACAGUGUUUCAACUCCUCUGGCUGCUGUACAAAAACACUGCAGCGCAUGUCAACCAUGCACCUGCAUGAACUGACUGAUAAAUUCAUUUCUGAUGCUGAAGUUGGCUUUUGUACAUUUUAUUUUUGUAUAAAAAACGUAAAGGCGCUUGAGAAAUGGGUGGGAUAUUUCCAGACCAAUACGCCUCAACACAACAGAAUCACAAAUGAGCUUCUUUACAGCUUUAGUUUUAGAAGUGACAUCACUUCCUCCUGACAGACGCGAUCCUUUUGGUUCUGUGCAGUUAAACCUUUUUACUCUCUGAGGACAAAAUGAAUCCAGGCAUCACCGCAUUGGCAUAUUUCAUAUUUUGGAUUGCAGGUGUCUGUGAAUCUGUUCUGAUCAGUCAAUGGCCCAGAUACAUCUCCAGUAUUUCCAGUGGUCGUGCAGAAAUACACUGCUACCAGAACGACACAGAUUAUAACUAUCUGUACUGGUACAGACAGCUUGGAGGAAGAGAGAUUCAGCUAAUUGUGUAUUUGCUAGCUGGGAAUUCAAACUUUGAGACAGACUUUACAUCUGGCUUUAAGGCAGUGCAAACAAAUAAGCAGUGGUCUCUGACUAUAUCCAAUGUUCAGGAGAAAGAUGAGGCUGUGUAUCUGUGUGCUGCCAGUCACACAGUGCAGCGACAGACCCAAGAACUGUGACAAAAACACACAGCAGAGAGGAUGCUGAUUGUUCUGACACCUGCCUUUUGUGUUAAUGUUUGGAUUAAAGA
Girardinichthys multiradiatus is the source of this 1434-nucleotide long non-coding RNA. RefSeq lists it as uncharacterized. Lineage: Eukaryota; Metazoa; Chordata; Actinopteri; Cyprinodontiformes; Goodeidae. The record is from RefSeq and is a predicted model, not a curated record. The transcript has 3 exons.